GACGAACGCUGGCGGCGUGCUUAACACAUGCAAGUCGAACGGAAAGGCCCUGCUUUUGUGGGGUGCUCGAGUGGCGAACGGGUGAGUAACACGUGAGUAACCUGCCCUUGACUUUGGGGUAACUUCAGGAAACUGGGGCUAAUACCGGAUAGGAGCUCCUGCUGCAUGGUGGGGGUUGGAAAGUUUCGGCGGUUGGGGAUGGACUCGCGGCUUAUCGGCUUGUUGGUGGGGUAGUGGCUUACCAAGGCAUUGACGGGUAGCCGGCCUGAGAGGGUGGCCGGCCACAUUGGGCCUGAGAUACGGCCCAGACUCCUACGGGAGGCAGCAGUGGGGAAUAUUGCACAAUGGGCGGAAGCCUGAUGCAGCAACGCCGCGUGCGGGAUGACGGCCUUCGGGUUGUAAACCGCUUUCGCCUGUGACGAAGCGUUAGUGACGGUAAUGAGUAAAGAAGCACCGGCUAACUACGUG
RNAcentral lists this ribosomal RNA (468 nucleotides) under uncultured bacterium. RNAcentral's name for it is "partial 16S ribosomal RNA". It matches the Rfam family "Bacterial small subunit ribosomal RNA", at positions 28 to 507 of the family's 1533-position model. The record is from RNAcentral.